This 253-nucleotide ribosomal RNA is filed under the name uncultured microorganism. RNAcentral describes it as "partial 16S ribosomal RNA". It matches the Rfam family "Bacterial small subunit ribosomal RNA", at positions 524 to 776 of the family's 1533-position model. The record is from RNAcentral.
UACGGAGGGUGCAAGCGUUAAUCGGAAUUACUGGGCGUAAAGCGUACGUAGGCGGCUUGUUAAGCAAGAUGUGAAAUCCCCGGGCUCAACCUGGGAAUGGCAUUUUGAACUGGUAGGCUCGAGUUCUGAAGAGGGUGGUAGAAUUUCCAGUGUAGCGGUGAAAUGCGUAGAUAUUGGAAGGAAUACCGGUGGCGAAGGCGGCCACCUGGUCAGAAACUGACGCUGAGGUACGAAAGCGUGGGGAGCAAACAGG